ACAAUGGGUGACUAGGGUUCCGGUCCGGGCAGGCUUUAUUGAUCAGCCCGGAUGGCUGGUCCGAGAGUUACCGACCUCUGGGAGGUUACACGGCGGGACAAAAGCCCGGGAGAC
RNAcentral lists this small RNA (114 nucleotides) under Marinobacter sp. RNAcentral describes it as "Guanidine-I sequence". It matches the Rfam family "Guanidine-I riboswitch aptamer". From Rfam's summary of the family: This family represents a conserved RNA structure found upstream of the ykkC and yxkD genes in Bacillus subtilis and related genes in other bacteria. The function of this family is unclear although it has been suggested that it may function to switch on efflux pumps and detoxification systems in response to harmful environmental molecules. Lineage: Bacteria; Pseudomonadati; Pseudomonadota; Gammaproteobacteria; Pseudomonadales; Marinobacteraceae. The record is from RNAcentral.